RNAcentral lists this ribosomal RNA (274 nucleotides) under uncultured bacterium. RNAcentral's name for it is "partial 16S ribosomal RNA". It matches the Rfam family "Bacterial small subunit ribosomal RNA", at positions 523 to 796 of the family's 1533-position model. The record is from RNAcentral.
AUACGAAAGGUGCAAGCGUUGUUCGGAUUUACUGGGCGUAAAGAGAGUGUAGGUGGUUUAUUAUGUCGGAUGUGAAAUCCCGGGGCUCAACCUCGGAACUGCAUUCGAUACUGAUAGGCUAGAGUUUGGGAGGGGUAAGCGGAAUUCCGUGUGUAGCAGUGAAAUGCGUAGAUAUACGGAGGAACACCUGAGGCGAAGGCGGCUUACUGGACCAAUACUGACACUGAGACUCGAAAGCGUGGGUAGCAAACAGGAUUAGAAACCCUAGUAGUCC